AUUGAACGCUGGCGGCAGGCCUAACACAUGCAAGUCGAGCGAGUGGCGGACGGGUGAGUAAUGUAUGGGAAUCUGCCCGAUAGUGGGGGAUAACUACUGGAAAGGGUGGCUAAUACCGCAUACUAUCCGAUGAGCCAAUAUGGGAUUAGCUAGUGGGUGGGGUAAAGGCUUACCUAGGCGACGAUCGCUAGCGGGUCUGAGAGGAUGAUCAGCCACACUGGGACUGAGACACGGCCCAGACUCCUACGGGAGGCAGCAGUGGGGAAUAUUGCACAAUGGGCGCAAGCCUGAUGCAGCCAUGCCGCGUGUAUGAAGAAGGCCUUCGGGUUGUAAAGUACUUUCAGCGGGGAGGCGUUACCCAAAGAAUAAGCACCGGCUAACUCCGUGCCAGCAGCCGCGGUAAUUC
RNAcentral lists this ribosomal RNA (406 nucleotides) under uncultured bacterium. Its description in RNAcentral is "partial 16S ribosomal RNA". It matches the Rfam family "Bacterial small subunit ribosomal RNA", at positions 30 to 526 of the family's 1533-position model. The record is from RNAcentral.